RNAcentral lists this ribosomal RNA (466 nucleotides) under uncultured bacterium. RNAcentral describes it as "partial 16S ribosomal RNA". It matches the Rfam family "Bacterial small subunit ribosomal RNA", at positions 28 to 507 of the family's 1533-position model. The record is from RNAcentral.
GACGAACGCUGGCGGCGCGCCUAACACAUGCAAGUCGAACGAGCGAGAGGAGGUUUACUUUCUCAAGCGAGUGGCGAACGGGUGAGUAACGCGUGAGGAACCUGCCUCAAAGAGGGGGACAACAGUUGGAAACGACUGCUAAUACCGCAUAAGCCCACGACCCGGCAUCGGGUAGAGGGAAAAGGAGCAAUCCGCUUUGAGAUGGCCUCGCGUCCGAUUAGCUAGUUGGUGAGGUAAUGGCCCACCAAGGCGACGAUCGGUAGCCGGACUGAGGGGUUGAACGGCCACAUUGGGACUGAGACACGGCCCAGACUCCUACGGGAGGCAGCAGUGGGGAAUAUUGCACAAUGGGGGAAACCCUGAUGCAGCGACGCCGCGUGGAGGAAGAAGGUCUUCGGAUUGUAAACUCCUGUUGUUGAGGAAGAUAAUGACGGUACUCAACAAGGAAGUGACGGCUAACUACGUG